AGGUAGUCAGAUCCUCCAUC
This 20-nucleotide small nuclear RNA is filed under the name Arabidopsis thaliana (thale cress). Its description in RNAcentral is "snRNA_12435". Lineage: Eukaryota; Viridiplantae; Streptophyta; Magnoliopsida; Brassicales; Brassicaceae. The record is from RNAcentral.